GAGGGUAGGUCCCUUGGAACCGGCAUGCAGGUGCAGGUUUCAAACCACCAUAGGGUGCUGCAAUCAAAAGUUGUGGUGCUGAACGCGUAUGCUAUAGCAGUCAGGU
Non-coding RNA from Desulfosporosinus orientis DSM 765, 106 nucleotides. Lineage: Bacteria; Bacillati; Bacillota; Clostridia; Eubacteriales; Desulfitobacteriaceae. The record is from Rfam.